CAGAGGUAGUAGAGCAUGUAUUGAUUCACUCUGAUUUGCGCCAGUGAUAUUUAAUAUUUUCCAGCUAGGACUCUGAUUUGGAUUCUCUUGUUAAUGAGCAAAACGACGCAGUUUUUAAUUAAAAGAAAUACCAAUGUUUGAAACAAAACUACACCGUUUUUGUUAUUGAACAACACCAUUUUCUUAUUAAAAAGGAACUCUUAUGAACAACACAUGCUCCUCUCUCUCUCUUGUUGCCUUUCCCGGUAGCCACAACAACAACCGUUGGUUUGCACCCUGGUUUCUUCCACCAUUGGUGCCGCUGGUUUCUCCCCGGUGGAUGAGCCUAGCUCCUCCACAACAACAGCAAAGCCCAAUGAUGGUGUCACAACCGUUGUCCCAGUCGCCGACAUCACCGCUGCCGUUUGAAUGCUUAAGAGAGACGUCUAACAAAGAUUGGAAUUUUGUAAAUGUUUUCUAAUUAAAUUGUCUAAUCCAUUAAAGUUCAAAGAAGUUAGAGACAAAUUGAAUCAAUAGAGCAGAACAAACUAUUCAAUUGACCUGAAACAAGAAAUUGAUUAAUGAUGCAUGCUAACCAUAAUCUGGGUUUCCAAUUUUCUCAGGUAGGAAUAGCUGUGAUGAAUGGGAAACAAGCUAUCUUCAGUGGGCAUCAUGACUAGCUGAAACAAUCCAAGAGCCGUCCCUCACCCUUGCUGCCUUUCCGACGGUUCACGCAGCGGCUGAAUAUCCUAUUUUUGCUUAUCAUUGCCUUCAAUUCUCGAUCUCUGUCUCAUUGCUAGCAUUGUUGGCUUCUUUGUGGUGGAAUAACCAAGCUCCUCCACAACAAGAGCAAUAAGAAUCGUUUGCAUCGUUGUCGCUGCCGCCAAUGGUAUCACAGUUGUUGCAGUUCCAGUUGCCGAUGUCAUCGUUGUCGUUCGGAUGCUCGAACUCAAACUCGCUACCGUAAUCGGCGCUACAGUCCUUAAAGUCGGACCCAUUAGUAUCA
RNAcentral lists this long non-coding RNA (985 nucleotides) under Ricinus communis (castor bean). RNAcentral describes it as "long non-coding RNA (RCOM_LNC002046)". Lineage: Eukaryota; Viridiplantae; Streptophyta; Magnoliopsida; Malpighiales; Euphorbiaceae. The record is from RNAcentral.